UGCGCCUAUUUAACAAUUAUGCAGCUGGGU
This 30-nucleotide non-coding RNA is filed under the name Rattus norvegicus (Norway rat). The record is from RNAcentral. Lineage: Eukaryota; Metazoa; Chordata; Mammalia; Rodentia; Muridae.